GCGGCCUAGCGCUUGAUUGGAGGUAUGGCCUCUUAAUCCGUUGGUCGAAGGUUCGAAUCCUUCAGGGCCCACCA
This 74-nucleotide transfer RNA is filed under the name Alicycliphilus denitrificans BC. RNAcentral describes it as "tRNA-Lys". Lineage: Bacteria; Pseudomonadati; Pseudomonadota; Betaproteobacteria; Burkholderiales; Comamonadaceae. The record is from RNAcentral.